This 24-nucleotide non-coding RNA is filed under the name Arabidopsis thaliana (thale cress). The record is from RNAcentral. Lineage: Eukaryota; Viridiplantae; Streptophyta; Magnoliopsida; Brassicales; Brassicaceae.
AUACAACAGGUGGACGAGCCACCA